GACGAACGCUGGCGGCGUGCUUAACACAUGCAAGUCGAACGGAAAGGCCCUGCUUUUGUGGGGUGCUCGAGUGGCGAACGGGUGAGUAACACGUGAGUAACCUGCCCUUGACUUUGGGAUAACUUCAGGAAACUGGGGCUAAUACCGGAUAUGAGCUCCUGCUGCACGGUGGGGGUUGGAAAGUUUCGGCGGUUGGGGAUGGACUCGCGGCUUAUCAGCUUGUUGGUGGGGUAGUGGCUUACCAAGGCUUUGACGGGUAGCCGGCCUGAGAGGGUGACCGGCCACAUUGGGACUGGGAUACGGCCCAGACUGCUACGGGGGGCAGCGGUGGGGAAUAUUGCACAAUGGGCGGAAGCCUGAUGCAGCAACGCCGCGUGCGGGAUGACGGCCUUCGGGUUGUAAACCGCUUUCGCCUGUGACGAAGCGUGAGUGACGGUAAUGGGUAAAGAAGCACCGGCUAACUACGUG
Molecule: ribosomal RNA, 468 nt
Filed under: uncultured bacterium
Lineage: Bacteria
Description: partial 16S ribosomal RNA
Rfam family: Bacterial small subunit ribosomal RNA
Source: RNAcentral